This 253-nucleotide ribosomal RNA is filed under the name uncultured bacterium. RNAcentral's name for it is "partial 16S ribosomal RNA". It matches the Rfam family "Bacterial small subunit ribosomal RNA", at positions 524 to 776 of the family's 1533-position model. The record is from RNAcentral.
UACAGAGGGUGCAAGCGUUGUUCGGAAUUAUUGGGCGUAAAGGGAGUGUAGGCUGUUAAGUAGGUCUUCUGUGAAAUCUACGGGCUUACCCCGUAACGUGCAGAGGAAACUGCUUAGCUUGAGUGUCGGAGAGGAUAGGGGAAUACCCGGUGUAGAGGUGAAAUUCGUAGAGAUCGGGUGGAACACCAGUGGCGAAGGCGCCUAUCUGGCUGACAACUGACGCUGAGACUCGAAAGCAUGGGGAGCAAACAGG